This 305-nucleotide unclassified non-coding RNA is filed under the name Ramaria sp. RNAcentral's name for it is "partial contains 5.8S ribosomal RNA, internal transcribed spacer 2, and large subunit ribosomal RNA". The stretch from base 1 to 52 matches the Rfam family "5.8S ribosomal RNA", at positions 103 to 154 of the family's 154-position model. Lineage: Eukaryota; Fungi; Basidiomycota; Agaricomycetes; Gomphales; Gomphaceae. The record is from RNAcentral. RNAcentral also lists the same sequence under 1 other name.
AACGCACCUUGCGCCCUUUGGUAUUCCGAAGGGCAUGCCUGUUUGAGUGUCAUUAAAUUCUCAACCUUGAAAGGCUUGUCUUUUCAAUGGCUUGGAUGUGAGGGUUUUGCUGGCUUCCUUUAGUGGAUGGUCUGCUCCCUUUAAAAGCAUUAGUGGGAUCCUUUGUGGACGGUCACUUGGUGUGAUAAUUAUCUACGCCGUUUGUACUGUGAAGCAAAACUUGUGGGAACCUGCUUAUAACCGUCUGUAAUGGACAAUUUUGAACCUUUGACCUCAAAUCAGGUAGGACUACCCGCUGAACUUAA